GGCAUUCAUGUCACUGAGGUGGCUUCUGUCUGACUCCAAUGUCAAUAAUAAUAGCAGUGACUAACAUUAAUUGGCCACUUACCAUGUACAAGACAUCAUAGUAAGCGUUUUCUGUAAAUGAUCACACUUAAUCCUCACAGUGCUGCUAUGAGUCAGAUACUUUACAGACAACAGGACGGAAGUCAGAGAGGCCACAGGCCUAAUGAUUGGCUGCCUGGUCUACCCUGAUGGUUGGGACUCAAGUGAGGUGCGGCGCAUGUGUGGGGAGCAGACGGGCAAGUACACGCUGGGCCACUGCACCAUCCGCUGGGCCUUCAUGCUGGCCAUCCUCAGCAUUGGUGACGCCCUCAUCCUCUCCUUCCUGGCCUUCGUGUUGGGCUACCGGCAGGACAAGCUCCUCCCUGACGACUACAAGGCAGAUGGAACCGAGGAGGUGUGAAGCAGCUGAAGGGUCGGUGAGUAAUUCUAUGGGAGGGUGGUCUGCGUGCCCUUAGAAAGGCUGGGGCUCUCUGCUUCCUUACUGAAUCCUCAGGCAUCAGGACACCAGGGGCUGGGCUGUAAGGCUGUGAUGCUGCUUGGGGAGAGAGGACCAACACCCCACUGGGGCAGGAGCUAUUUGGACUCUGAGACCUUCACUGGGGAGCAAACAGGAAGCCUUUAGUUUUACCUGUGUCUUUUUUUUUUUGAGAUGGAAUUUCGCUCUUGUUGCCCAAGCUGGAGUGCAAUGGUGUGAUCUCGGCUCACUGCAACCUCCACCUCCUGGGUUCAAGCCAUUCUCCUGCCUCAGCCUCCCGAGUAGCUGGGAUUACAGGAACAUGUCUGAUUUCAGGAGUACCCAGUGAAGGAUCCGAUGAAUGGCUGGCCAGUUACUCAGAGUAAUAUGUUUAUGAGUUAAAUGGAUUGCAUAACGGCACCACUUUUCCUUUGUCACUGUGGUGGAUAAAUGACAAAGUAGAUUCCAAUCUCCUGUAUAGAAAGGUGGUUACCCAAUAGCCUCACUGGUGGCUUGCUAGCAGAGCCUCAAGUUGCACCUCUGUGGCUUUCUGUAAAUUCGAGUCCUACAGCCACUUCGAGAA
RNAcentral lists this small RNA (1076 nucleotides) under Pan troglodytes (chimpanzee). RNAcentral describes it as "processed transcript". The record is from RNAcentral. Lineage: Eukaryota; Metazoa; Chordata; Mammalia; Primates; Hominidae.